CCUACGGGAGGCAGCAGUGAGGAAUAUUGGUCAAUGGACGAGAGUCUGAACCAGCCAAGUAGCGUGAAGGAUGACUGCCCUAUGGGUUGUAAACUUCUUUUAUAUGGGAAUAAAACGUUCCACGUGUGGGAUUUUGUAUGUACCAUAUGAAUAAGGAUCGGCUAACUCCGUGCCAGCAGCCGCGGUAAUACGGAGGAGCCGAGCGUUAUCCGGAUUUAUUGGGUUUAAAGGGAGCGUAGGUGGAUUGUUAAGUCAGUUGUGAAAGUUUGGGGCUCAACCGUAAAAUUGCAGUUGAAACUGGCAGUCUUGAGUACAGUAGGGGUGGGCGGAAUUCGUGGUGUAGCGGUGAAAUGCGUAGAUAUCACGAAGAACUCCGAUUGCGAAGGCAGUUCACUGGACUGCAACUGACACUGAGGCUCGAAAGUGUGGGUAUCAAACAGGAUUAGAUACCCCGGUAGUC
RNAcentral lists this ribosomal RNA (460 nucleotides) under uncultured bacterium. Its description in RNAcentral is "partial 16S ribosomal RNA". It matches the Rfam family "Bacterial small subunit ribosomal RNA", at positions 338 to 795 of the family's 1533-position model. The record is from RNAcentral.